CUACGUAGCUCAGAGUUUGAUCCUGGCUCAGGAUGAACGCUAGCGGCAGGCUUAACACAUGCAAGUCGAGGGGCAGCAUAGACAUUGCUUGCAAUGUUUGAUGGCGACCAGCGCACGGGUGCGUAACGCGUAUGCAACCUACCUAUAACAGGGGGAUAACACUGAGAAAUUGGUACUAAUACCCCGUAACAUCAGAGAGGGCAUCCUUUUUGGUUGAAAGUCCCGGCGGUUAUAGAUGGGCAUGCGUUGUAUUAGCUAGUAGGUGAGGUAACGGCUCACCUAGGCGACGAUACAUAGGGGGACUGAGAGGUUAACCCCCCACAUUGGAACUGAGACACGGUCCAA
Molecule: ribosomal RNA, 345 nt
Filed under: uncultured bacterium
Lineage: Bacteria
Description: bacterial SSU rRNA
Rfam family: Bacterial small subunit ribosomal RNA
Source: RNAcentral